Molecule: ribosomal RNA, 497 nt
Filed under: uncultured bacterium
Lineage: Bacteria
Description: partial 16S ribosomal RNA
Rfam family: Bacterial small subunit ribosomal RNA
Source: RNAcentral
GAUGAACGCUGGCGGCGUGCCUAAUACAUGCAAGUCGAGCGAACAGACGGGGAUCUUGCUCCUCUGACGUUAGCGGCGGACGGGUGAGUAACACGUGUAUAACCUACCUAUAUGACUGGGAUAACUUCGGGAAACCGGCGCUAAUACCGGAUAAUAUAUUGAACCGCAUGGUUCAAUAGUGAAAUACGGUUUUGCUGUCACUUAUAGAUGGAUCCGCGCCGCAUUGGCUGGUUGGUAAGGUACCGGCUUAGCAAGGGGACGAUGCGUAGCCGACGGGAGAGAGUGAUAGGCCGCACGGGAGGUGGGACAGGGACCAGGGUCCUGCGGGAGGCAGCAGUAGGGAAUCGGCGGCAGUGGGGGAAAACAUGGCAGAGCGGGGCGGAGUGAGAGAUGAAGGUCUUCGGAGCGUAAAGCUCUGUUAUUAGGGAAGAACAAAUGUGUAAGUAAAUGUGCACGGAGUGACGGUACCUAGUAAGAAAGCAACGGCUAACUACGUG